This 274-nucleotide ribosomal RNA is filed under the name uncultured bacterium. RNAcentral's name for it is "partial 16S ribosomal RNA". It matches the Rfam family "Bacterial small subunit ribosomal RNA", at positions 523 to 796 of the family's 1533-position model. The record is from RNAcentral.
AUACGGAGGGUGCAAGCGUUACUCGGAAUCACUGGGCGUAAAGCGCGCGCAGGCGGUCUUUUAAGUUGGAUGUGAAAGCCUACGGCUCAACCGUAGAACUGCAUCCAAAACUAUUAGACUAGAGUGUGGGAGAGGAAGAUGGAAUUAGUUGUGUAGGGGUGAAAUCCGUAGAGAUAACUAGGAAUACCAAAAGCGAAGGCAAUCUUCUGGAACACUACUGACGCUGAGGCGCGAAAGCGUGGGGAGCAAACAGGAUUAGAAACCCUAGUAGUCC